GAACGGGUGAGUAACACGUAUCCAAUCUACCCUUAAGUUGGGGAUAACUAGUCGAAAGAUUAGCUAAUACCGAAUAAUAACAUCAAUAUCGCAUGAGAAGAUGUAGAAAGUCGCUCUUUGUGGCGACGCUUUUGGAUGAGGGUGCGACGUAUCAGAUAGUUGGUGAGGUAAUGGCUCACCAAGUCAAUGACGCGUAGCUGUACUGAGAGGUAGAACAGCCACAAUGGGACUGAGACACGGCCCAUACUCC
Molecule: ribosomal RNA, 250 nt
Filed under: uncultured Ureaplasma sp.
Lineage: Bacteria; Bacillati; Mycoplasmatota; Mycoplasmoidales; Mycoplasmoidaceae
Description: partial 16S ribosomal RNA
Rfam family: Bacterial small subunit ribosomal RNA
Source: RNAcentral